This 511-nucleotide ribosomal RNA is filed under the name marine sediment metagenome. RNAcentral's name for it is "LSU rRNA". It matches the Rfam family "Archaeal large subunit ribosomal RNA", at positions 29 to 547 of the family's 2987-position model. The record is from RNAcentral.
AUGACUCGGCUCUAGACGACGACGAAGGAUGUGGCUAACUGCAUUAAGCCGCGGCGAACCGUACGCAGGUUUUGAACCGCGGAUCUCCGAAUAGGACUUCCUUUUAAACCCGAAAGGGUGGAAAACGCGGGGAACUGAAACAUCUUAGUACCCGCAGGAAAAGAAACCAAUUGGGAUGCGGUAAGUAAGGGCGACCGAAAACCGCUAAGGGCAAACCGAAUGAGGAUUAGUAAUAAUUCUCGUGUGUGGUGUUAUGGACCGCGCCGUUUUAACGUCCGGCUCUGGAAAUCUGAACUCGCCUGGAAAGGCGGGCUAGAAAGGGUGACAGCCCCGUAGGAGUAACUGGAGUGGACUAGGUGCGUAGUCCAGAGUACUGUUCCUCGGAUAUGGAGCAGGAAGUUGGGGGGCAUCAACCUCCAACCCUAAACACGUUUAGAGUCCGAUAGAAAACAAGUACCGUGAGGGAAAGUUGAAAAGAACCCGUGACAGGGAGUCAAAAGAGCCUGAAACC